This 83-nucleotide transfer RNA is filed under the name Cardinium endosymbiont of Oedothorax gibbosus. RNAcentral describes it as "transfer RNA Leucine". It matches the Rfam family "tRNA". Rfam says of the family: Transfer RNA (tRNA) molecules are approximately 80 nucleotides in length. Their secondary structure includes four short double-helical elements and three loops (D, anti-codon, and T loops). The record is from RNAcentral. Lineage: Bacteria; Pseudomonadati; Bacteroidota; Cytophagia; Cytophagales; Amoebophilaceae.
ACGGAUGUGGCGGAAUUCGGUAGACGCGCUAGACUUAGGAUCUAGUACCGUGAGGUGUGGGGGUUCGAGUCCCUUCAUCCGUA